AAUUGCUUCUUUUUUUUUUUGUAUUUUUUAUCUGGAAAUAUUGAAGGAAGUGAGAAAAUUGAGAAGUCUAUGCAAUUAAGCUUAUUACAUAUAGUUGUGUAAGUUGAAAGUUGAAGUUUUAUUGCUUUGAUAGAUUAAUUGGAUUUAUAGUUACUUAAAUACGUUUUUUUUUCUUUAGUUUGUUAUUGAUAGCUUAAUGGGUUCAUGUUAAAAUGAAAACGAGCUUCUGUUAAAAUGUGAAAUCCUCCGUCUCUCUCUCUCUGU
Molecule: unclassified non-coding RNA, 264 nt
Filed under: Hevea brasiliensis (rubber tree)
Lineage: Eukaryota; Viridiplantae; Streptophyta; Magnoliopsida; Malpighiales; Euphorbiaceae
Source: RNAcentral